RNAcentral lists this small RNA (90 nucleotides) under Pseudomonas luteola. RNAcentral's name for it is "t44 RNA". It matches the Rfam family "t44 RNA". From Rfam's summary of the family: This family consists of a number of bacterial RNA genes of between 135 and 170 bases in length. The t44 gene is found between the map and rpsB genes in all species in the full alignment apart from Shigella flexneri. The record is from RNAcentral. RNAcentral also lists the same sequence under 1 other name. Lineage: Bacteria; Pseudomonadati; Pseudomonadota; Gammaproteobacteria; Pseudomonadales; Pseudomonadaceae.
CUAAAACGCCCUAAACCCCACACACGUAUCGGCACGAUGGCCUGGGUGCUCUGCAAGGAGUUGGCCAUUGGGAUGCGUGGAGGCCCAACC